This 408-nucleotide ribosomal RNA is filed under the name uncultured bacterium. RNAcentral describes it as "partial 16S ribosomal RNA". It matches the Rfam family "Bacterial small subunit ribosomal RNA", at positions 28 to 526 of the family's 1533-position model. The record is from RNAcentral.
GACGAACGCUGGCGGCGUGCUUAACACAUGCAAGUCGAACGGAGUGGCGAACGGGUGUGUAACAUGUGGGUGACCUUCCCUGCACUUCGGGAUAAGCCUGGGAAACCGGGUCUAAUACCGGAUAGUGUGGGAAGGGCCGGCGGCCUAUCAGCUUGUUGGUGGGGUAAUGGCCUACCAAGGCGGCGACGGGUAGCCGGCCUGCGAGGGUGGACGGCCACAAUGGGCCUGAGGCACGGCCCAGACUGCUACGGGGGGCAGCGGGGGGGAAUAUUGCACAAUGGGGGGGAGCCUGAUGCAGCGGCGCCGCGGGGGGGAUGACGGCCUUCGGGUUGUAAACUCCUUUCGCCAUAGACGCGGUAGAUGGAGAAGAAGCACCGGCUAACUACGUGCCAGCAGCCGCGGUAAUAC